This 253-nucleotide ribosomal RNA is filed under the name uncultured bacterium. Its description in RNAcentral is "partial 16S ribosomal RNA". It matches the Rfam family "Bacterial small subunit ribosomal RNA", at positions 524 to 776 of the family's 1533-position model. The record is from RNAcentral.
GACAGAGGAGCCAAGCGUUGUCCGGACUGACUGGGCGUAAAGCGCCCGCAGGCGGCCGUGCGCGUGGGGUGUGAAAGCUCGCGGCUUAACUGCGAGAGGCCAUCCCAUACGGCACGGCUCGAGCCGUCCAGAGGCCGGUGGAAUUGCCGGUGUAGUGGUGAAAUGCGUAGAGAUCGGGAGGAACACCCGUAGCGAAGGCGGCCGACUGGACCAUACCCGACGCUGAGGCGCGAAGGCCAGGGGAGCGAACGGG